UACGUAGGGUGCAAUCGUUAAUCGGAAUUACUGGGCGUAAAGCGUGCGCAGGCGGUUUUGUAAGUCUGUCGUGAAAGCCCCGGGCUCAACCUGGGAAUUGCGAUGGAGACUGCAAGGCUUGAAUCUGGCAGAGGGGGGUAGAAUUCCACGUGUAGCAGUGAAAUGCGUAGAGAUGUGGAGGAACACCGAUGGCGAAGGCAGCCCCCUGGGUCAAGAUUGACGCUCAUGCACGAAAGCGUGGGGAGCAAACAGG
RNAcentral lists this ribosomal RNA (253 nucleotides) under uncultured bacterium. Its description in RNAcentral is "partial 16S ribosomal RNA". It matches the Rfam family "Bacterial small subunit ribosomal RNA", at positions 524 to 776 of the family's 1533-position model. The record is from RNAcentral.